GCAAGCAGCUGCUAGGGUCCCUCGCCUUUGUCCCUCGCCGUCUGACUGCGCUGCAGGGACGGGCAGACAGUGAGGCGAUGGGCGGCCCGCAGCAACUCCAGCGUGGGGUAUCUGAAAGAUACAUUGACUACAUGUAACCUGCUUCUUGAAGAGGAGUUUUCUCAGAAUGUGUUGAACUCAGAAUAUUCUCUUUUAUUAUUUGGGCAUCCGUAAUCCCUUUUUAGCUGCAUUUUUCCUCCCUGUUUGAAAAGAUUCAAGACUGCCUUCAUGGAAAAGCAUCAUCAGCUGGAUUCAGAAUACAGGGAACUAACUCAUGAAUGGACUGGGCCUGCAAAGAGCGUGGCCCUGAAGUUCAAGAAAUUUGGAAACCAGUUUGGCACCAUACGAGCAACUUCUUGUAAAGCAGCUCUGCCAAUUACAUAAAUGCAUGCAGAGGAAGAGGGUCUGGGGAUGAAGUGGUCCAUCUCAGUUCUUGGCUUCUGUGAUGCUUCAUUUUGCAACCUUGAUCAGCAGGGCUUAAGUACUGGUCCUAUAGUAUUUUCAAGUGCAAUUUGGAUAAUGUAAUAAUAAUUUCUGGAUGAAGCUGAGAACAUAAGUUCUGGUGAUGAAUUUUUCAGGGUAGCUGCCAAAGGAGAAGGAAGAUUAAACUGGUCUAUAUUGCAUGCACAAGUUUUUUUCCUUCUUAUAUUACCUUAUAAUAAAAGAAAUUUUGUGAGCUUUUCUGAACCACUGAAAUUAUUUAAGGAAUUUGCCUUUUUUAUGUUAAAAGGUUAUAAAAGCAUUAAAAUCCUAGCAAGUUAUUGCUGAAGUCUAUAAAGGUAUCAGUGAAUCUCAGACCUUGUUAUUUCAGGAUGAUUUUUGCCUUCCAGUCACUCAGAAGGGUGGAAGGGAGGUUCUCAGGACCCCCAAGCAUCUGUCUUUUUUAAAAUUAGUCUCAAGAAUGAUGCACAUUGGCUACAUGCUGCAUGUUUAAGCAGAAGACUCAGAAAUACAUUAGGACAAAUAGGGAGAGAAAAGCCAUGUCUGGAAACUGUGGAAAAGUAACUGUGUUCAGUUCAGUACACAGAAUGCAAUUUAUGUGGCUCCAGGGAAAUAGAUGGAUUCGCAUCUCAGGUUAAGAAAGUUUUGUCUUGAGGUAAAUCAUACAGUAAAUUAACAUCAGCCAUGCUCUCUUAAGAGUAUUUCAUUUAAAGAAUUUAAAACCGGAAUGGCAUAAGUAGGAGUCUGACUUCCUUUUGAGAUAAAAUGGAGCUGUAAUUCUGGGGUGAAAUGGGUAUCUAAUCAUCCAGUCAUUCAUACAAUUAAUCUUUAGUUGAUCUAUAUAGGUAAAGGGAGUCUGAUAGUGUGACCCUGCAGUGCUUAAAUACCAUUUUAAUUACGUGUGGCUGCAGGUCCACUCUCCCUGACAAAUGUUCUUUUUGGCUUUGAUGUGUGUGCAACUCUAGGGUGAGCUGGCUUAGCUGAUGUAUAUCAAGACUUGUGGUUUUUCCAUUAGAGGCUAGUUUUAGCCGAUCAGCUUGGAGCUGCUUAUUGCUCAGUCACACAGAUGUCACUUCCAGUCUGAGUUUUAACUUGACUAUUAUGAAAAUGCACCCUACUGUUUCCUCU
This is a long non-coding RNA of Meleagris gallopavo (turkey), 1608 nucleotides long. NCBI's taxonomy places the organism in Eukaryota, Metazoa, Chordata, Aves, Galliformes, Phasianidae. The record is from Ensembl.